AUGAACGAUUUCUCAACGACAAUAUCCGCAAAAGAACCAAUAAUUUCUUCGCCUCCACCCUCUAUCUUCUUCUUCUUUUUUUCUCUAUCUUCUCCACUAAAAUUCUCUGCGGUUCGGUUUUUUACCCGAACCGUUCUCUACCCCACUCUCUCUCAACUUCCUCACUUCGCUAAACGAACUACGCGAAUUUUCACUAUCACCAAAACCUUUCAAUUCUCAAUUUGCGUUAAUCGUUAUCAUCACUUUUUUGAUCAAUCCAUUUCACAGUUUUAG
This is a non-coding RNA of Vicia faba (fava bean), 273 nucleotides long. Lineage: Eukaryota; Viridiplantae; Streptophyta; Magnoliopsida; Fabales; Fabaceae. The record is from the annotation of a GenBank genome assembly.